CAGCCGCCGCGGGAAUACGUAGGGUGCAAGCGUUAAUCGGAAUUACUGGGCGUAAAGCGUGCGCAGGCGGUUAUAUAAGACAGAUGUGAAAUCCCCGGGCUCAACCUGGGAACUGCAUUUGUGACUGUAUAGCUAGAGUACGGCAGAGGGGGAUGGAAUUCCGCGUGUAGCAGUGAAAUGCGUAGAUAUGCGGAUGAACACCGAUGGCGAAGGCAAUCCCCUGGGCCUGUACUGACGCUCAUGCACGAAAGCGUGGGGAGCAAACAGGAUUAGAUACCCCCGUAGUCCCUGUCUCUUAUAC
Molecule: ribosomal RNA, 301 nt
Filed under: uncultured bacterium
Lineage: Bacteria
Description: partial 16S ribosomal RNA
Rfam family: Bacterial small subunit ribosomal RNA
Source: RNAcentral